This is a small nucleolar RNA of Callithrix jacchus (white-tufted-ear marmoset), 112 nucleotides long. Its record names the gene U3. It matches the Rfam family "Small nucleolar RNA U3". Rfam says of the family: Small nucleolar RNAs (snoRNAs) are involved in the processing and modification of rRNA in the nucleolus. There are two main classes of snoRNAs: the box C/D class, and the box H/ACA class. NCBI's taxonomy places the organism in Eukaryota, Metazoa, Chordata, Mammalia, Primates, Cebidae. The record is from Ensembl.
AAGAUUGUACUUUCAGGGAUCAUUUCUGUAGUUCAUUACCAGAGAUGUUUCUCUGAAUGUGUGGAGCACUGGAAAAAUCAGUAUUUUUUUAAAAGAAGAAAAAAAUAUAUGU